RNAcentral lists this ribosomal RNA (520 nucleotides) under Eulimnogammarus cyaneus. RNAcentral describes it as "bacterial SSU rRNA". It matches the Rfam family "Eukaryotic small subunit ribosomal RNA", at positions 117 to 554 of the family's 1831-position model. The record is from RNAcentral. Lineage: Eukaryota; Metazoa; Arthropoda; Malacostraca; Amphipoda; Eulimnogammaridae.
CCAAAUGGGCCAGUGCAAAUCCUACUUGGAUAACUGUGGUAAUUCCAGAGCUAAUACAUGCAACUGAUAUCCCGAAGGCGGUGUUUGUGCUUGCUUGUCUUGCGCUUGCGUUGCUCUGACGGAUGCUUUUAUUAGACCAAGCCGCUGAGGACUUGAGGGUUCGCGCUCUCUUGUCUGACUCGUGUGAUGGUGACUCUGGAUAACCAAAUUCUGACAAGCGCACGUACUUCUCUUCUGAGCGAGACGGCGCUGCCACUUUCGAGUGUCUGCCUUAUCAGCUAUCAACCGUUCGUUAUGCGCGACCGAUGGCUUUGACGGGUAACGGGGAAUCAGGGUUCGAUUCCGGAGAGGCAGCCUGAGAGACGGCUACCACGUCCAAGGACGGCAGCAGGCACGCAAAUUACCCAAUCCCAGCAAAUGGGGGAGGUAGUGACGAAAUCUAACGAUGCGGGCGCCCUUUCUGGGGCCCCGCAAUCGGAAUGGGCACUUUCUAAACAACCUGUUGAGAACCUACUGAAGG